RNAcentral lists this long non-coding RNA (549 nucleotides) under Homo sapiens (human). RNAcentral describes it as "HSALNT0342984". The record is from RNAcentral. Lineage: Eukaryota; Metazoa; Chordata; Mammalia; Primates; Hominidae.
UAACCAUCACACCUAUUAAUAACACUGGGUGCAUGUAUCAGGCAGCACCAUGUUAACUAAAGGCUUUGCUUUAAUCCCAUAAAGUCCUCACAGUAAUUCCAGGAGCAAACAUUAUUGUUCUUUUUUCACAGAUGAGGAAAAUAAAGCCCAGAGUGUUCCAGUGAUGGGCCUCGAUUCACUCAGCUUCAAGUCGGCCAGACUCCAAUGCGCAGGCUCAAUCAGGUUCAGACUUGGUAUUUGUCUUUCUGGAUCAUGCUGGGGUAUGAUUCUCAUUGCGGACAGAAUAACAACAAGAAGACCUUGAGAAUAAGCAUCAAUUUGUGAGCCCCAAGGGCGAAGAAGCUUUCCUGAAGCAACAACAGGAACAGGAAGCAAAAAGGAUUUGAAAUGAAAUAGCAAGGGUUGUGGAGGCUUGGAAGUCUAGGAUCAAUGUGCCAGCAACUGGCAUCUGGUGAGGCCCUUCUUGUUGCAUCCUCACAUGACAGAAGAAAGAAGGGCAAACGAGAUGAACUCUGUGUCUUCAUAUGGCAGGAGAGCAGAAGACAACAA